Molecule: ribosomal RNA, 555 nt
Filed under: uncultured Glomus
Lineage: Eukaryota; Fungi; Glomeromycota; Glomeromycetes; Glomerales; Glomeraceae
Description: SSU rRNA
Rfam family: Eukaryotic small subunit ribosomal RNA
Source: RNAcentral
UUGGAGGGCAAGUCUGGUGCCAGCAGCCGCGGUAAUUCCAGCUCCAAUAGCGUAUAUUAAAGUUGUUGCAGUUAAAAAGCUCGUAGUUGAAUUUCGGGAUUGGCGUGUCGGUCGUGCCUUACGGGGUAUGAACUGGCGUCGUCGAUUUCUCACCUUCUGGAGAAUCACGAUGCCCUUAAUUGGGUGUCGUGUGGAACCAGGACCUUUACCUUGAAAAAAUUAGAGUGUUUAAAGCAGGCAUUUUGCUCGAAUACAUUAGCAUGGAAUAAUAAAAUAGGACGGCUUGGUUCUAUUUUGUUGGUUUCUAGGAUCACCGUAAUGAUUGAUAGGGAUAGUUGGGGGCAUUAGUAUUCAAUUGUCAGAGGUGAAAUUCUUGGAUUUAUUGAAGACUAACUACUGCGAAAGCAUUUGCCAAGGAUGUUUUCAUUAAUCAAGAACGAAAGUUAGGGGAUCGAAGACGAUCAGAUACCGUCGUAGUCUUAACCAUAAACUAUGCCGACUAGGAAUCAGACGAUGUUAAUUUUUUAAUGAAUCGUUUGGCACCUUACGGGAAAC